Molecule: long non-coding RNA, 418 nt
Filed under: Salvia miltiorrhiza (redroot sage)
Lineage: Eukaryota; Viridiplantae; Streptophyta; Magnoliopsida; Lamiales; Lamiaceae
Description: long non-coding RNA (SMIL_LNC014234)
Source: RNAcentral
GUGCUCUGCUAGUGGGGGAAUGCGGUGGCUUUAUUGGUGGAGGAGGGCGGUGAAGGGGGAAGGGUGGGUGUGGUGGUGAGGGCUUGGGGCAAUAGGAAUGAGGUUUUGAGGGCGGCUGCGAUUGUCGUUGCUCUGAGGAGGCUGAUGGCGUCGGAGGAAUUGCGGCGGAAGGUGGAGGAGGUGCGAAAUGCGGCUGUAAUUGUGUGUGUGUGUGUGUGUGUGAGAGAGAGAGAGAGAGAGAGAGAGAGAGAGGUGAGUGUACAUGUGAUUUGGCAAUUCCGACAGCCAUGUUGGCAACUCCGACAAUCACGUUGGCAAUUCGAUUGCCACCUCAGAUUAAUUUAGGCAAAAUUGUAGAUGGUGAGAUAAUUGAGAACAAAUUAUAAAUUCAUGUAUUUUUUGGCAAAAAAAAAGGUGA